This 449-nucleotide ribosomal RNA is filed under the name uncultured bacterium. Its description in RNAcentral is "partial 16S ribosomal RNA". It matches the Rfam family "Bacterial small subunit ribosomal RNA", at positions 28 to 523 of the family's 1533-position model. The record is from RNAcentral.
GAUGAACGCUGGCGGCAUGCCUAACACAUGCAAGUCGAACGAAGGCUUCGGCCUUAGUGGCGCACGGGUGCGUAACGCGUGGGAAUCUGCCCUCAGGUUCGGAAUAACAGCGAGAAAUUGCUGCUAAUACCGGAUGAUAUCGCGAGAUCAAAGAUUUAUCGCCUGAGGAUGAGCCCGCGUAGGAUUAGCUAGUUGGUGUGGUAAAGGUGCACCAAGGCGACGAUCCUUAGCUGGUCUGAGAGGAUGAUCAGCCACACUGGGACUGAGACACGGCCCAGACUCCUACGGGAGGCAGCAGUGGGGAAUAUUGGACAAUGGGCGAAAGCCUGAUCCAGCAAUGCCGCGUGAGUGAUGAAGGCCUUAGGGUUGUAAAGCUCUUUUACCCGGGAUGAUAAUGACAGUACCGGGAGAAUAAGCUCCGGCUAACUCCGUGCCAGCCGCCGCGGUAA